Molecule: ribosomal RNA, 468 nt
Filed under: uncultured bacterium
Lineage: Bacteria
Description: partial 16S ribosomal RNA
Rfam family: Bacterial small subunit ribosomal RNA
Source: RNAcentral
GACGAACGCUGGCGGCGUGCUUAACACAUGCAAGUCGAACGGAAAGGCCCUGCUUUUGUGGGGUGCUCGAGUGGCGAACGGGGGAGUAACACGUGAGUAACCUGCCCUUUACUUUGGGAUAACUUCAGGAAACUGGGGCUAAUACCGGAUAUGAGCUCCUGCGGCAUGUUGGGGGUUGUAAAGUGUCGGCGGUGGGGGAUGGACUCGCGGCUUAUCAUCUUGUUGGUGGGGUAGUGGCGUACUAAGGCUUUGACGGGUAGCCGGCCUGAGAGGGUGACCGGCCACAUUGGGACUGAGAUACGGCCCAGACUGCUACGGGAGGAAGAAGUGGGGAAUAUUGCACAAUGGGCGGAAGCAUGAUGCAGCAACGCCGCGUGGGGGAUGACGGCCUUCGGGUUGUAAACCGCUUUCGCCUGUGACGAAGCGUGAGUGACGGUAAUGGGUAAAGAAGCAACGGCUAACUACGUG